RNAcentral lists this non-coding RNA (122 nucleotides) under human gut metagenome. RNAcentral describes it as "FMN riboswitch (RFN element)". It matches the Rfam family "FMN riboswitch aptamer (RFN element)". From Rfam's summary of the family: The RFN element is a highly conserved domain that is found frequently in the 5'-untranslated regions of prokaryotic mRNAs that encode for flavin mononucleotide (FMN) biosynthesis and transport proteins. This element is a metabolite-dependent riboswitch that directly binds FMN in the absence of proteins. The record is from RNAcentral.
AGUCUUCAGGGCAGGGUGAAAUUCCCGACCGGCGGUAAAAGUCCGCGAGCUGCGUUGGAAUCCCAACAAUGCUGAUUCGGUGCAAUUCCGAAACCGACAGUACAGUCUGGAUGGAAGAAGAU